GAAUUGGUCCGCAUGACGGUGCCACAGCCUAAGAUCACCUCUCUCUUCCACACCGAAGAUCAGGUGGGUUAUAUUUGCAAAAGUAUAUUGGGUUAGUAAGCCCUCUCUUUUUAUACAAGCAAAUAUGGUUUAAAUUGUGAAUGCAUGCAAAUAUUUUGUUUGGUUGUUACAAGAACAAACGGAGUUUGUCCCCACAGAACAAACGGGGUCGUCCCCAAACGAUCGGCUCUAUCCCCGAUGGGGGCCAGGGUAGUGUACACUAGUAAGAAGUCUAGGUAUUGGAUUGAUUCGGCCGGGUCACUCAUACUUAGCACCAAGAAAGGUAACACCAAACCAGAAAGGCGCGCAAAGGUUAAAGGAGCUACGGCUCACAAGUAUUUCAGAAUUUAUAGUAAUUGUUUUUCAAGUAUUGCUAUAUUAUCUUACAGGCAUGCAUUUCACCAAGUAUCACAGUUCUUUGAAACCAGUUUAAAGAAAAAUGGGCAUUAACUUCACUAAGUGCGUUAGUACUCAACCCAAAGUUUUAAUUCAUUUCAGGUUAAUGGAGCCGGGCGCAACGGGGGCAAGGUGGUGGUGGUGGUCUGGAGCUGUCAAUAAGGUUUCUCGAUGAAAUUUAUUUCCCAUAACCUCGAUCACCAAACAUUUUAUUUUGUUGGUUACGCCCUGCGUGGCAAUUAUGAACUUGUUUACUGCUUUGCCUAAACAACUGAACAAUUGAGUUGCUCUUGGGCACUCAGACACCGUGAUAACGAACUCUCUGAACUUGACCGGAGUCCUCAUACUUCGUGUCAAGUCGGGUUUCCCUUUGAGCAGAACGAUUAAAGAUAGGUUCAUUAAUUCCGCUAAUUAACCAAGUUUUUCAAUCAAAAUAGUUAAGUUACUUACUUCCGCUAAAUAACCUUAAUAAUCACCAUCAAGUUCAGCGUGGCUGGCCCCUAGAUAAGUCGGGCCGUCACAUCAUCCCUUUUUUUUGUUGCCUCAUUCAGCUGCAUAGAUAAAGAUCUAUUUACUUCAAGAACAGUCAAACAUCUUGAUGCAUAAGUUCAUAGUUUUUAGCAAUAUAAUCCUUGUCCAACUCCUCUGUAUCACUAUCUGUAUCACCGGCA
RNAcentral lists this long non-coding RNA (1106 nucleotides) under Salvia miltiorrhiza (redroot sage). RNAcentral describes it as "long non-coding RNA (SMIL_LNC000746)". Lineage: Eukaryota; Viridiplantae; Streptophyta; Magnoliopsida; Lamiales; Lamiaceae. The record is from RNAcentral.